Molecule: ribosomal RNA, 484 nt
Filed under: uncultured bacterium
Lineage: Bacteria
Description: bacterial SSU rRNA
Rfam family: Bacterial small subunit ribosomal RNA
Source: RNAcentral
GAUAAACGCUGGCGGCGCACAUAAGACAUGCAAGUCGAACGGAAGUCGUUAUAAAAAGGAUUGAAGAUUUAUCUGAUUGAGAUUUUAUAACAAUGGCUUUAGUGGCGGACUGGUGAGUAACGCGUGAGCAACCUGCCUACUAGAGGGGAAUAACAGUGAGAAAUCAUUGCUAAUACCGCAUAUGCCAUGAACAUCACAUGAUGAAAAUGGGAAAAGAGUAAUCUGCUAGUAGAUGGGCUCGCGUCUGAUUAGAUAGUUGGUGGGGUAACGGCCUACCAAGUCAACGAUCAGUAGCCGGACUGAGAGGUUGAACGGCCACAUUGGGACUGAGAUACGGCCCAGACUCCUACGGGAGGCAGCAGUCGGGAAUAUUGCGCAAUGGAGGAAACUCUGACGCAGUGACGCCGCGUAUAGGAAGAAGGUUUUCGGAUUGUAAACUAUUGUCGUUAGGGAAGAUAAAAGACAGUACCUAAGGAGGAAGCUC